RNAcentral lists this ribosomal RNA (500 nucleotides) under uncultured bacterium. Its description in RNAcentral is "partial 16S ribosomal RNA". It matches the Rfam family "Bacterial small subunit ribosomal RNA", at positions 30 to 523 of the family's 1533-position model. The record is from RNAcentral.
AUUGAACGCUGGCGGCAUGCCUUACACAUGCAAGUCGAACGGCAGCACGGGAGCAAUCCUGGUGGCGAGUGGCGAACGGGUGGGUAAUAUAUCGGAACGUGCCCAGUCGUGGGGGAUAACGCAGCGAAAGCUGUGCUAAUACCGCAUACGAUCUAAGGAUGAAAGCGGGGGAUCGCAAGACCUCGCGCGAUUGGAGCGGCCGAUAUCAGAUUAGCUAGUUGGUGGGGUAAAGGCCCACCAAGGCGACGAUCUGUAGCUGGUCUGAGAGGACGACCAGCCACACUGGAACUGAGACACGGUCCAGACUCCUACGGGAGGCAGCAGUGGGGAAUUUUGGACAAUGGGCGCAAGCCUGAUCCAGCAAUGCCGCGUGCAGGAUGAAGGCCUUCGGGUUGUAAACUGCUUUUGUACGGAACGAAACGGCCCUUUCUAAUACAGGGGGCUAACGACGGUACCGUAAGAAUAAGCACCGGCUAACUACGUGCCAGCAGCCGCCGUAA